UACGGAGGAUGCGAGCGUUAUCCGGAUUUAUUGGGUUUAAAGGGUGCGUAGGCGGGCUUUUAAGUCAGCGGUAAAAAUUCGGGGCUCAACCCCGUCCGGCCGUUGAAACUGGGGGUCUUGAGUGGCGAGAAGAAGGCGGAAUGCGUGGUGUAGCGGUGAAAUGCAUAGAUAUCACGCAGAACCCCGAUUGCGAAGGCAGCCUUCCGGCGCCCUACUGACGCUGAGGCACGAAAGUGCGGGGAUUGAACAGG
This 251-nucleotide ribosomal RNA is filed under the name uncultured bacterium. RNAcentral describes it as "partial 16S ribosomal RNA". It matches the Rfam family "Bacterial small subunit ribosomal RNA", at positions 524 to 776 of the family's 1533-position model. The record is from RNAcentral.